This 104-nucleotide ribosomal RNA is filed under the name Escherichia coli. RNAcentral's name for it is "partial 16S ribosomal RNA". It matches the Rfam family "Bacterial small subunit ribosomal RNA", at positions 1 to 104 of the family's 1533-position model. Lineage: Bacteria; Pseudomonadati; Pseudomonadota; Gammaproteobacteria; Enterobacterales; Enterobacteriaceae. RNAcentral also lists the same sequence under 2 other names. The record is from RNAcentral.
AAAUUGAAGAGUUUGAUCAUGGCUCAGAUUGAACGCUGGCGGCAGGCCUAACACAUGCAAGUCGAACGGUAACAGGAAGCAGCUUGCUGUUUCGCUGACGAGUG